This 468-nucleotide ribosomal RNA is filed under the name Apis dorsata breviligula. RNAcentral describes it as "partial 16S ribosomal RNA". The record is from RNAcentral. Lineage: Eukaryota; Metazoa; Arthropoda; Insecta; Hymenoptera; Apidae.
GGUCGAUCUGCUCAAUGAAAUAUUUUAAUAGCUGCAGUAUAUUGACUGUACAAAGGUAGCAUAAUAAAUUGUCUUUUAAUUGAAGAAUUGAAUGAACGAAUUGAUGAAAUAAUGACUGUCUCUAAAUUAUUUAAUGAAUUUAAAUUUUUAGUUAAAAUUCUAAAAUUUAAUUAUGGGACGAUAAGACCCUAUAGAAUUUUAUUUAAUAUUUUAUUUAUUAAAUAAUUUUUUUGUUUGUAAAUAAUAUAUUAAAUUUAAUUGGGAGGAUUGAUAAAUUAAAAAAACUUUAUUUAAUAUUUAAUUUUGAUUAAAAGAUAAAUAAUGAAUUAUAAUUUAUAAUUAAUAGAAUAAAUUACCUUAGGGAUAACAGCGUAAUAUCUUUUGAUAGACCUUAUAGAUAAAGAUGAUUGCGACCUCGAUGUUGAAUUAAGAUUAAAAUUAAGCGCAGAAGUUUAAAUUUUGAGUCUG